RNAcentral lists this ribosomal RNA (406 nucleotides) under uncultured bacterium. RNAcentral's name for it is "partial 16S ribosomal RNA". It matches the Rfam family "Bacterial small subunit ribosomal RNA", at positions 30 to 526 of the family's 1533-position model. The record is from RNAcentral.
AUUGAACGCUGGCGGCAGGCCUAACACAUGCAAGUCGAACGAGUGGCGGACGGGUGCGUAAUGUCUGGGAAACUGCCCGAUGGAGGGGGAUAACUCCUGGAAACGGUAGCUAAUACCGCAUACCAUCGGCUGUGCCCAUAUGGGAUUCGCUAGUAGGUGGGGUAACGGCUCACCUAGGCGACGAUCCCUAGCGGGUCGGAGAGGAUGACCAGCCACACUGGGACGGAGACACGGCCCAGACUCCUACGUGAGGAAGCAGUGGGGAAUUUUGGACAAUGGGGGAACCCCUGAUCCAGCCAGUCCGCGUGUGCGAUGAAGGCCUUCGGGUUGUAAAGCACGUUUGGCAGGAAAGCGGUACCUGCAGAAUAAGCACCGGCUAACUACGUGCCAGCAGCCGCGGUAAUAC